Molecule: ribosomal RNA, 468 nt
Filed under: uncultured bacterium
Lineage: Bacteria
Description: partial 16S ribosomal RNA
Rfam family: Bacterial small subunit ribosomal RNA
Source: RNAcentral
GACGAACGCUGGCGGCGUGCUUAACACAUGCAAGUCGAACGGACAGGCCCUGCUUUUGUGGGGUGCUCGAGUGGCGAACGGGUGAGUAACACGUGAGUAACCUGCCCUUGACUUUGGGAUAACUUCAGGAAACUGGGGCUAAUACCGGAUAGGAGCUCCUGCUGCAUGGUGGGGGUUGGAAAGAUUCGGCGGUUGGGGAUGGACUGGCGGCUUAUCAGCUUGUUGGUGGGGUAGUGGCUUACCAAGGCUUUGACGGGUAGCCGGCCUGAGAGGGUGACCAGCCACAUUGGGACUGAGGUACGGCCCAGACUGCUACGGGAGGCAGCAGUGGGGAAUAUUGCGCAAUGGGCGGAAGCCUGAUGCAGCAGCGCCGCGUGCGGGAUGACGGCCUUCGGGUUAUAAACCGCUUUCGCCUGUAACGAAGCGUGAGUGACGGUAAUGGGUAAAGAAGCACCGGCUAACUACGUG